GGCGAUCUGGCUGUGACCUGCCACCCCACUGAUCGCCAGGGUGGAUUCGCUGAUCUGGCUGGCUAGGCGCGUGUCCCUUCCCUCCUUAAAGUGCCCCAUGCGCAUCCUCCCGAGGCUGCGUGCUCGGUCGAAGAGCACGACCAUCCCCAAUAGAGGAGGACCCGUCUUCGGUCAAGGGUAUAGGACUAGCUGUGCUCCCCGGCUAGAACCUCCAAACAAGCUCUCAAGAUUCA
RNAcentral lists this long non-coding RNA (233 nucleotides) under Cervus elaphus hippelaphus. It matches the Rfam family "7SK RNA", at positions 10 to 245 of the family's 331-position model. From Rfam's summary of the family: 7SK was discovered as an abundant small nuclear RNA in the mid-70s but a possible function has only recently been suggested. Two independent studies have found that 7SK RNA binds the CDK9/cyclin T complex (known as elongation factor P-TEFb). Lineage: Eukaryota; Metazoa; Chordata; Mammalia; Artiodactyla; Cervidae. The record is from RNAcentral.